This 67-nucleotide transfer RNA is filed under the name Allobates femoralis (brilliant-thighed poison frog). RNAcentral describes it as "tRNA-Arg". It matches the Rfam family "tRNA". From Rfam's summary of the family: Transfer RNA (tRNA) molecules are approximately 80 nucleotides in length. Their secondary structure includes four short double-helical elements and three loops (D, anti-codon, and T loops). Further hydrogen bonds mediate the characteristic L-shaped molecular structure. tRNAs have two regions of fundamental functional importance: the anti-codon, which is responsible for specific mRNA codon recognition, and the 3' end, to which the tRNAs corresponding amino acid is attached (by aminoacyl-tRNA synthetases). tRNAs cope with the degeneracy of the genetic code in two manners: having more than one tRNA (with a specific anti-codon) for a particular amino acid; and 'wobble' base-pairing, i.e. permitting non-standard base-pairing at the 3rd anti-codon position. Lineage: Eukaryota; Metazoa; Chordata; Amphibia; Anura; Aromobatidae. The record is from RNAcentral.
GAAAUAUUAGUCUAAAAAGACAGCUAAUUUCGACUUAGCAGAUUGUGGUUUAACUCCACAAUGUUUC